CGAAUGCUGACAUAAGUAACGAUAAAGCGGGUGAAAAGCCCGCUCGCCGGAAGACCAAGGGUUCCUGUCCAACGUUAAUCGGGGCAGGGUGAGUCGACCCCUAAGGCGAGGCCGAAAGGCGUAGUCGAUGGGAAACAGGUUAAUAUUCCUGUACUUGGUGUUACUGCGAAGGGGGGACGGAGAAGGCUAUGUUGGCCGGGCGACGGUUGUCCCGGUUUAAGCGUGUAGGCUGGUUUUCCAGGCAAAUCCGGAAAAUCAAGGCUGAGGCGUGAUGACGAGGCACUACGGUGCUGAAGCAACAAAUGCCCUGCUUCCAGGAAAAGCCUCUAAGCAUCAGGUAACAUCAAAUCGUACCCCAAACCGACACAGGUGGUCAGGUAGAGAAUACCAAGGCGCUUGAGAGAACUCGGGUGAAGGAACUAGGCAAAAUGGUGCCGUAACUUCGGGAGAAGGCACGCUGAUAUGUAGGUGAAGUCCCUCGCGGAUGGAGCUGAAAUCAGUCGAAGAUACCAGCUGGCUGCAACUGUUUAUUAAAAACACAGCACUGUGCAAACACGAAAGUGGACGUAUACGGUGUGACGCCUGCCCGGUGCCGGAAGGUUAAUUGAUGGGGUCAGCGCAAGCGAAGCUCUUGAUCGAAGCCCCGGUAAACGGCGGCCGUAACUAUAACGGUCCUAAGGUAGCGAAAUUCCUUGUCGGGUAAGUUCCGACCUGCACGAAUGGCGUAAUGAUGGCCAGGCUGUCUCCACCCGAGACUCAGUGAAAUUGAACUCGCUGUGAAGAUGCAGUGUACCCGCGGCAAGACGGAAAGACCCCGUGAACCUUUACUAUAGCUUGACACUGAACAUUGAGCCUUGAUGUGUAGGAUAGGUGGGAGGCUUUGAAGUGUGGACGCCAGUCUGCAUGGAGCCGACCUUGAAAUACCACCCUUUAAUGUUUGAUGUUCUAACGUGGACCCGUGAUCCGGGUUGCGGACAGUGUCUGGUGGGUAGUUUGACUGGGGCGGUCUCCUCCUAAAGAGUAACGGAGGAGCACGAAGGUUGGCUAAUCCUGGUCGGACAUCAGGAGGUUAGUGCAAUGGCAUAAGCCAGCUUGACUGCGAGCGUGACGGCGCGAGCAGGUGCGAAAGCAGGUCAUAGUGAUCCGGUGGUUCUGAAUGGAAGGGCCAUCGCUCAACGGAUAAAAGGUACUCCGGGGAUAACAGGCUGAUACCGCCCAAGAGUUCAUAUCGACGGCGGUGUUUGGCACCUCGAUGUCGGCUCAUCACAUCCUGGGGCUGAAGUAGGUCCCAAGGGUAUGGCUGUUCGCCAUUUAAAGUGGUACGCGAGCUGGGUUUAGAACGUCGUGAGACAGUUCGGUCCCUAUCUGCCGUGGGCGCUGGAGAACUGAGGGGGGCUGCUCCUAGUACGAGAGGACCGGAGUGGACGCAUCACUGGUGUUCGGGUUGUCAUGCCAAUGGCACUGCCCGGUAGCUAAAUGCGGAAGAGAUAAGUGCUGAAAGCAUCUAAGCACGAAACUUGCCCCGAGAUGAGU
RNAcentral lists this ribosomal RNA (1533 nucleotides) under Escherichia coli. Its description in RNAcentral is "bacterial LSU rRNA". It matches the Rfam family "Bacterial large subunit ribosomal RNA", at positions 1291 to 2809 of the family's 2925-position model. The record is from RNAcentral. Lineage: Bacteria; Pseudomonadati; Pseudomonadota; Gammaproteobacteria; Enterobacterales; Enterobacteriaceae. RNAcentral also lists the same sequence under 1 other name.